GUGGAAAAUGCAUAGAAGCUUGUAGAUUUCCACAAGGAAGAGAAGAAAAGUCAUGCCAACAUAACAUGUGAGACGCCGCGUCCGUCCCUCCCACCUCUAUAUAAACUCAUCGGCGAAAGAGCAGUUCCCAUCCCAUCCAGCUUCAGCCAGCAGCAAGUCCAAUACACACACCCACACAAACUAGCUAGCAGGUUGUGACUGAUCACCGUGGUCGACGAGACGACGAUGGCCGCACGCCCGAUGCUGGUGGUGGCGCUGCUGUGCGCGGCGGCGGCGGCGGCCACGGCGCAGCAGGCGACCAACGUGCGGGCGACGUACCACUACUACCGGCCGGCGCAGAACAACUGGGACCUGGGCGCGCCCGCGGUGAGCGCCUACUGCGCAACCUGGGACGCCAGCAAGCCGCUGUCGUGGCGGUCCAAGUACGGGUGGACGGCGUUCUGCGGCCCCGCCGGCGCCCACGGGCAGGCGUCCUGCGGCAAGUGCCUCCAGGUGACCAACCCGGCGACGGGGGCGCAGAUCACGGCGAGGAUCGUGGACCAGUGCGCCAACGGCGGGCUGGACCUGGACUGGGACACCGUCUUCACCAAGAUCGACACCAACGGGAUCGGGUACCAGCAGGGCCACCUCAACGUCAACUACCAGUUCGUCGACUGCCGCGACUAGAUUACGUUCUCCGUCGAUCGAUCAAAGGGCUAGCUAGCUAUGAUAAGAAUAAAAGGCUAGCUAAAAGUAAGUUGAGACUGAUCCAUGCUGUUAAAUAAAAGCUAGCACGUGAUGCUGCAUUGUAUACGUGUUACGUGUAUACAGUACGUACAUGGAACGAAAUAAAGUGGAACAGACCAAACGGGUUAUCUAUUCAUGUAUGGAUUGUAUUGUACUACUACCAGUUUACUGAAGCUUCUCCAACAGCUCCCGUAAAUAACUCCUGGUAAAACCAUUUUUACGGGUUUCCGCAAAAUUUAGUGGAAGUUGACGGUUGAGGUAUUUUCUCGGUUCCUGUAAAACUUUCCCUAAAAAUGGUUUUGGCAGUGGCGCGAUGGCGAUGGCAUACUCCGGCGGCGGUGGCUGAUGGCGGACAGCAGAGGUCGAUGGUGGUGGGUUGGUGGGCGGCAGCGCGGCGGCCUCCGGUGGUGGUUAGCUAGCUGACGUGUAACUUUUAUGAGACACCUCGUCUUCCUAUUGAUGGAGGGAAACUUUGAGAGAAAUUAUGAAACCUCGUAAAAAUGUGCACGUUUACGGGAAAUUUUUU
This 1252-nucleotide ribosomal RNA is filed under the name Triticum aestivum (bread wheat). RNAcentral describes it as "partial small subunit ribosomal RNA". The record is from RNAcentral. Lineage: Eukaryota; Viridiplantae; Streptophyta; Magnoliopsida; Poales; Poaceae.